UGAGGAAUAUUGGUCAAUGGGUGCAAGCCUGAACCAGCCAUCCCGCGUGAAGGACGACUGCCCUCUGGGUUGUAAACUUCUUUUGUAUAGGGAUAAACCUACCCUCGUGAGGGUAGCUGACGGUACUAUACGAAUAAGCACCGGCUAACUCCGUGCCAGCAGCCGCGGUAAUACGGAGGGUGCAAGCGUUAUCCGGAUUUAUUGGGUUUAAAGGGUCCGUAGGCGGACUUAUAAGUCAGUGGUGAAAGCCUGUCGCUUAACGAUAGAACUGCCAUUGAUACUGUAAGUCUUGAGUAUAUUUGAAGUAGCUGGAAUAAGUAGUGUAGCGGUGAAAUGCAUAGAUAUUACUUAGAACACCAAUUGCGAAGGCAGGUUACCAAGAUAUAACUGACGCUGAGGGACGAAAGCGUGGG
This 413-nucleotide ribosomal RNA is filed under the name uncultured bacterium. RNAcentral's name for it is "bacterial SSU rRNA". It matches the Rfam family "Bacterial small subunit ribosomal RNA", at positions 355 to 765 of the family's 1533-position model. The record is from RNAcentral.